Molecule: long non-coding RNA, 3256 nt
Organism: Hypanus sabinus (Atlantic stingray)
Lineage: Eukaryota; Metazoa; Chordata; Chondrichthyes; Myliobatiformes; Dasyatidae
Exons: 5
Source: RefSeq, a predicted model, not a curated record
GGAGAUGUUGUUGCCAAUUCCAACUGACUGGGGUCUGCAUGUGAGGAAAUCCAGGAUUCGAUUGCACAAGGAGGAGAAUAACGCAGCUGGUGACUGGAAUACGUAGACUGCUGAGCUCCACCCAAUCUAUAAAUAUCUCACUAAAUUCAAGUAGAGUUGUAGUUCAUAGUUUAUCCAACCUUGCAAAUAUUUGGCUUCUGAUAAACUGCUGCUGAGUAUUCAUCAGUACUAAGUUCUGAAGUUUCAGUAUUUACCACCUCUUUGAAAACUAAUGUUGGCAUUCUCUCCAAAGAUGUGCCUUGCAAAAAUUCCAAAUUACUCCAAAUGUGUUAAGGAAAUUUUGCCUUCCAUGAAGACUACUGCAUGUGAGUCCAGUUUCUCAUCUGUUUUUGCCAACGGGUACUGCCAAUGAAAAGGCAGGUUUUAUCAGGUUGCCUGCUGGUCUUCUGCUACUCCUCCAGGAUAGUCCUGCAGCAGACAUAUCUGAUUAUCAACGGUUUCAUACUUGUUGACAUCCUGGCAGACAUAUUUAGUCCUUUGAACCAUUUUGGAGAAACUUGUCAAUUGAAUGGAUUUGUUGCCCCCUUUCAGGAUUGUGGAAUUCACAUCAUCACUUUUACAUUGGAUGUUCCUAUUCCAGUACUAUUUUUCUUCAAUGCUUUCCAUCUGUAGCUUUGCAUUUGUUUUAUUUACUUAUCUCUAUUCUGUUUAGAGACAAUUCCAUUGGCCAUUCUUUUUGCCAGAGUGCAUUAAAGUCAGUCUUAAGUUUAAUCUGAGACAUUAACUCUGUUUUUCCAUCCAUAGAUGCUCCUAACCCACUGAGUACUUCCACCAUUUUCCGUUUUUAAACUUCUGAUGUGCAUGAAUGAAUGAGCACAGACCAGAAAUUGACAGUGAAAUUACAUAGGAGCUAGAACAGUACAGCAUGGUAUAGGCCCUCUGGCCCAUGAUGUUGUUCUGACCCUUUAAUCUUCGCCAAGGUCAAUCUAACCCUUCCCUCUCACAUAGCCAUCCAUUACAGUCACCAUCUUUCAAUCUAGUCUAUGUAUCAUUUUCAAAAAUUCUAGAUACAAAUAAAUAUGCAAAGGAAUAGAUGGAAACCAUGGCACGAGGACAUGGAGAUACAUGUGGAGAUACCAGCCUGGCUUGGGAAGCCUGAAACCAGAGAUCAGUUAUUGCUGCCAACAGAAUUCCUCUACUGUUGGGCUCCCUUACAACAUGAUGAUUGACAUUAGCAGGCAGAUGAUUUGAAGGCUUAUCUUGGUGAAUCCAGUUGAGGUGAGAUUUUCUCAGAUAUUCUACAGGUGUAUUGAACAAUGCCAUGCUGGGCUUGUUGCCCUUGGUGUGGCCAAGGGGUUGAGAUGACUUUGAAAAUACAGAUAGACUCAAUUUUGCAAAGCAUUGCAGUGACAUACAUCGAAAGGGCAGAGGAAGAUAGAUACACUUGAACGAUGCUGGCUUUAUUUCACAGAGCUUUAAUGGGAGUACUUGCCAAGAUACAAUCUCAGGCCUGCAGAUGAUUAGACAGAUCAGAUGUUUAACUAGCAUUUCAAAUGAAACUAUGGUGCUACUGAGUGUAUUCUUUGAUCGAGUGAAAUGAUAACUUUUUGCAGUUGCAAUAUUCCAAUGAAUCAGGGAGGAAGGUUAUUUUGGGCCUUUCUUAUUAGAAUGAGUAAUUCUGCUAUUUUGUAUUUUUCUGAUCUUAAGUAUAUACUAGUGCAGCAGACAGCAAGUUCUCCUUUGUGGGCUUUGUUAACUGUGAAUACUAAUGCAAAAUGGGUGGCAUUGUGGUACAUCUGCAAAGCUGCCCCUAUAACCUGGUUUGAUUCUGAACUCUGGGAUCUCUGCAUAGCGGUCCUGUGGUCACACGAGUUUCUCUUUGGUCCCCUGGUUGCUCUCACAAAGAAAUACUGCUAGUGUCUUUGAUACAAGUUUAGAUAAUUGACUGGUUUAGGUGGUGGGUGGAGAUUUGAUGUGAAGGGGCAUUGAUGGCCAUGAGAGAUUAUAAGUUACGGGAAAAAAUGGGGCAGUGGCACUGAUGGUAAUGCCAUGAGUCUGCAUGAAUGAUAAUCAAUAUGGCAAUACAGUCAAUUUUCAAAGUUCAAUGUAAAUUUUAUUAUGAUAGUGUGUAUCGCCACUGCUCUACAUACCAUCCUUACACAUUUAGAGAAGAAGGAUGCUUAUGUGAGAAUGCUGUAAUUGGAUUACAGUUCAGCAUUCAACACCAUAGUUCCAUCUAGGCUCGACAAGAAGCUCAGAGACCUCGGCCUUUACCCUGCCUUGUGCAGCUGGAUCCUGGAUUUCCUGUCAGAUCGUCUGCAGGUUGUAAGAGUGGACUCCCUCACCUCCACCCCUCUGAGUGUCAAUACAGGGGUCCCUCAGGGCUGCGUACUGAGCCCCCUCCUUUACACUCUGUAUACCCAUGGCUAUAUCGUCACCCACUGCUCCAAUCUACUAAAUAAAUUUGCCAUGAUUCAGGACAUUUACAAGGACAGGUAUGUAAAAAGGGCCCGUAGGAUCAUUAAGGACCCAAGCCAUCCCAACCCCAAUCUAUUCCAGCUGCUACCAUCAGGGAAGCGGUACCGCAGCAUAAAAGCCAGGAGCAACAAGUUCCGGGAUAGCUUCUUCCACCAGGCCAUGAGACUGAUGAAGUCACGCUGAUUUAAGUGUACCCUAUAUUACAUUGACUGUUCUAUUUGUAAAGGGGGUUUCUUCUUUUUUCUUUGUUACUGUGUAUGUAAUCAAAAUGGCUUCUUUUGUUAAAAGUAGAAAUGCUUCUUUGUUGCGAGAGAGUGCUGGAAGCUUGUUGGGGUUAAAAUUUACUGAUAACGAGAAUUGUAUUCCUUUGUAAACCAAUUGGGAUUAAUGUUGUUCUUUUUUCUGAGUCUGUAAGCUAUUGUUGGCGGGCUUUUGGGGAGUUCGGCGCGAGGGGUCGAGAGCGAGAGGACGCAAUGCUGUAAGUUGGGCGAGGAACGGACCCCAAGCGGGGGUCCGAGGCCAGGAGGUAAUCCGAGGAGAGGAGAUGAAGCUAGAUGUGCUUGGUUGACCACUUCGGAUGGUCCUGAGCUGCGAGUCGAGGAGUUCAGAGGGGAUCGAAUGGUGGCCAGAAGACUUCAGUAAUUGAGCUCCAACGGUUGUGCAUGAAGUGGUUUGGACUUUGAUAAGUUUGGCGCCUUUUCUUUAUUUUUUUCUUUAUAUAUACUGUAUCGUUAUUAAUCACUUAGUUAUAGUAACCUUUAUAAAUUGUACUCAUUUA